UGAACUUCUUCAGCUUGUCGGAGGCAUUCUGGGACUCCUCCUGCAGCCUCAGGUUGUCCUCCCGCAAGUGCUGAACCUCCGCCUGAAGUGCUAACAAUGCCACGCCAUUGAGCACCAACAGGAGAGGAGACUAGAGGAAAAGAAACACAUGUAACUGGCUGGACAGACCACACAGCUGGGCAAGGGCCGGAGACCUAGCGACUCUUCUCUACUUGAAUUCAAGCCUCUGAAAGUUUCUGGGUGAAUUCUAGCCAGAAACAUCACCUCAGUCUCCCACAAGCAAGAAUCUGAAGGCUCCCAUGGAGACAACAUGCAGAUGACUCUUUCCAGAGGUCAGAGGGAAGACGUGAUGACUGAAUGAACUCUUGGCAUCAUGAAAUAUAAGCAGAUCAGGCCAGCACUUGUUUAAUAAGGGCCUGCAUUUAAGGGCCACUGGCUUAACGCAAGCACACAGCCAGUGGGCUGAUGUGUAGGGAUGAAGCAGGCGGGAAGUACACAUGCCAUCACUCCCUUGAAAGAUGAGUGAGAAAGGCCGGGGCCGGGACAAGCAUCCUAAGAGAUCCAACUGUGCGUUGAGCAAUGAUGUCUUCACGAUGUGAUGAAAAAUGCUUCCUGGACAUGUGCUAUUUUCAGAAUGGUCUUUGGAGUACAUUUCAUCUCGGGAGAUGCUGAUAUGUCAGUUUCAGAUGUAUACCUGACCUACCUAGAAGAACGCACACACACGUGUGGCACACGCACACAAAGGGGAACGUGUAUAUGCACAGAAACUAGAAUGGUGAUGAGGAAGCCUGGAUAAGACGAGACCACACGGCUCAUCACGCUGGGCACGUCUCUCGCCCUCUGAGGAUGGAAACUGCCCCAAGCUUUUCUGUUCACUGUCAUGUGAAACGCAAAGCGCCCAGCAAGAGAAGCAACGGAGCCCUUACUUUCUCG
Non-coding RNA from Odocoileus virginianus texanus, 933 nucleotides. The record is from RefSeq and is a predicted model, not a curated record. NCBI's taxonomy places the organism in Eukaryota, Metazoa, Chordata, Mammalia, Artiodactyla, Cervidae.